This 301-nucleotide ribosomal RNA is filed under the name uncultured bacterium. Its description in RNAcentral is "partial 16S ribosomal RNA". It matches the Rfam family "Bacterial small subunit ribosomal RNA", at positions 509 to 807 of the family's 1533-position model. The record is from RNAcentral.
CAGUCGCCACGGUAAUACAGAGGGUGCAAGCGUUAAUCGGAUUUACUGGGCGUAAAGGGCGCGUAGGUGGUUAUUUAAGUGAGAUGUGAAAUCCCCGGGCUUAACCUGGGAACUGCAUCUUAUACUGGGUAACUGGAGUGCAGUAGAGGGUAGUGGAAUUUCCGGUGUAGCGGUGAAAUGCGUAGAUAUCGGAAGGAACACCAGUGGCGAAGGCGGCUACCUGGACUGAGACUGACACUGAGGCGCGAGAGCGUGGGGAGCAAACAGGAUUAGAUACCCCUGUAGUCCCUGUCUCUUAUAC